RNAcentral lists this ribosomal RNA (320 nucleotides) under uncultured eukaryote. RNAcentral describes it as "partial 18S ribosomal RNA". It matches the Rfam family "Eukaryotic small subunit ribosomal RNA", at positions 1470 to 1796 of the family's 1831-position model. The record is from RNAcentral.
CCCCUAGAUGUUCUGGGCCGCACGCGCGCUACACUGAACAGUUCAACAAGUCUUAACCUUGGCCGAUAGGUCUGGGUAAUCUUUGAACGCUGUUCGUGAUUGGGAUAGACCUUUGCAAUUAUGGGUCUUCAACGAGGAAUUCCUAGUAAACGCAAGUCAUCAGCUUGCAUUGAUUACGUCCCCGCCCUUUGUACACACCGCCCGUCGCACCUACCGAUUGAAUGGUCCGGUGAAAUCUCGGGACGGCGGCUUGGUCGCUUGCGUCCGACUGCUGAAACUUGAUUAAACCAUNUNAUUUAUNGGAAGGUGAANUCGUANCA